CACAAUGGAGAAAGAGAUGUGAUUGUGACGUGGAAGAAGGGUAAAGUGGAGGAAAAUAAAUGAUGGUUUCUCUGAAGGGAUGUUUUGUCUAAUGUGUAUUUUCUUUUUUUUUUCUUUUUUCGACUUUUGUGUGUGUGAUUUUUU
This 144-nucleotide non-coding RNA is filed under the name Platyophrya macrostoma. Lineage: Eukaryota; Ciliophora; Colpodea; Cyrtolophosidida; Platyophryidae. The record is from RNAcentral.